GGCCUCGUAGCUCAGCUGGUAGAGCAUGCGCGUACAAAGCGUAGGCGGCGACCAUGCGUGGGUUCGAAUCCCACCGAGGCUA
Echinostoma caproni is the source of this 82-nucleotide non-coding RNA. Lineage: Eukaryota; Metazoa; Platyhelminthes; Trematoda; Plagiorchiida; Echinostomatidae. The record is from Rfam.